UAGGGAAUCUUCCGCAAUGGGCGGAAGCCUGACGGAGCAACGCCGCGUGAGUGAUGAAGGUCUUCGGAUCGUAAAACUCUGUUAUUAGGGAAGAACAAAUGUGUAAGUAACUAUGCACGUCUUGACGGUACCUAAUCAGAAAGCCACGGCUAACUACGUGCCAGCAGCCGCGGUAAUACGUAGGUGGCAAGCGUUAUCCGGAAUUAUUGGGCGUAAAGCGCGCGUAGGCGGUUUUUUAAGUCUGAUGUGAAAGCCCACGGCUCAACCGUGGAGGGUCAUUGGAAACUGGAAAACUUGAGUGCAGAAGAGGAAAGUGGAAUUCCAUGUGUAGCGGUGAAAUGCGCAGAGAUAUGGAGGAACACCAGUGGCGAAGGCGACUUUCUGGUCUGUAACUGACGCUGAUGUGCGAAAGCGGGGGGAUCAAACAGG
RNAcentral lists this ribosomal RNA (429 nucleotides) under Actinomycetes bacterium. RNAcentral describes it as "Actinobacteria bacterium partial 16S ribosomal RNA". It matches the Rfam family "Bacterial small subunit ribosomal RNA", at positions 355 to 776 of the family's 1533-position model. Lineage: Bacteria; Bacillati; Actinomycetota; Actinomycetes. The record is from RNAcentral.